Molecule: ribosomal RNA, 525 nt
Filed under: uncultured Herbaspirillum sp.
Lineage: Bacteria; Pseudomonadati; Pseudomonadota; Betaproteobacteria; Burkholderiales; Oxalobacteraceae
Description: bacterial SSU rRNA
Rfam family: Bacterial small subunit ribosomal RNA
Source: RNAcentral
AGAGUUUGAUCCUGGCUCAGAUUGAACGCUGGCGGCAUGCCUUACACAUGCAAGUCGAACGGCAGCACGGGGGCAACCCUGGUGGCGAGUGGCGAACGGGUGAGUAACAUAUCGGAACGUGCCCUGGAGUGGGGGAUAACUAGUCGAAAGACUGGCUAAUACCGCAUACGAUCUGCGGAUGAAAGUGGGGGAUUCGCAAGGACCUCAUGCUCGUGGAGCGGCCGAUAUCUGAUUAGCUAGUUGGUGGGGUAAAGGCCUACCAAGGCGACGAUCAGUAGCUGGUCUGAGAGGACGACCAGCCACACUGGGACUGAGACACGGCCCAGACUCCUACGGGAGGCAGCAGUGGGGAAUUUUGGACAAUGGGGGCAACCCUGAUCCAGCAAUGCCGCGUGAGUGAAGAAGGCCUUCGGGUUGUAAAGCUCUUUUGUCAGGGAAGAAACGGCUCUAGCUAAUAUCUGGGGCUAAUGACGGUACCUGAAGAAUAAGCACCGGCUAACUACGUGCCAGCAGCCGCGGUAAUAC